RNAcentral lists this ribosomal RNA (253 nucleotides) under uncultured bacterium. RNAcentral's name for it is "partial 16S ribosomal RNA". It matches the Rfam family "Bacterial small subunit ribosomal RNA", at positions 524 to 776 of the family's 1533-position model. The record is from RNAcentral.
UACGUAGGUGGCAAGCGUUGUCCGGAUUUAUUGGGUUUAAAGGGUGCGUAGGUGGCCCUGUAAGUCAGUGGUGAAAUAUCUCAGCUUAACUGAGAGGGUGCCAUUGAUACUGCAGGGCUUGAGUACAGAUGAGGUAGGCGGAAUUGACGGUGUAGCGGUGGAAUGCGUAGAGAUCCGGAAGAACACCGGUGGCGAAGGCGGCCUGCUGGGCAGUAGCUGACGCUGAGGCGCGACAGCGUGGGGAGCAAACAGG